UGGGGAAUCUUCCGCAAUGGACGAAAGUCUGACGGAGCAACGCCGCGUGAGUGAAGAAGGUUUUCGGAUCGUAAAACUCUGUCUUUUGGGGCGAACGUGAGUAUGGUGAACAAUCAUAGUCAGUGACGGUACCAAAGGAGGAAGCCACGGCUAACUACGUGCCAGCAGCCGCGGUAAUACGUAGGUGGCAAGCGUUGUCCGGAAUUAUUGGGCGUAAAGAGCGCGUAGGCGGGAUAGUCAGUCUGUUGUAAAGUGCGGGCUCAACCCCGUGAUGGCAAUGGAAACAGCUAUUCUUGAGUGCAGGAGAGGAAAGUGGAAUUCCCAGUGUAGCGGUGAAAUGCGUAGAUAUUGGGAGGAACACCAGUGGCGAAGGCGACUUUCUGGACUGUGUCUGACGCUGAGGCGCGAAAGCCAGGGGAGCGAACGGGAUUAGAUACCCCGGUAGUCCUGGCCGUAAACGAUGGGUACUAGGUGUGGGAGGUAUCGACCCCCUUCCGUGCCGGAGUUAACGCAAUAAGUACCCCGCCUGGGAAGUACGAUCGCAAGAUUAAAACUCAAAUUGAAUUGACGGGGGUCAUAGCUGUUUCCUG
This 590-nucleotide ribosomal RNA is filed under the name uncultured bacterium. RNAcentral's name for it is "partial 16S ribosomal RNA". It matches the Rfam family "Bacterial small subunit ribosomal RNA", at positions 355 to 941 of the family's 1533-position model. The record is from RNAcentral.